Molecule: long non-coding RNA, 1166 nt
Organism: Mus musculus (house mouse)
Lineage: Eukaryota; Metazoa; Chordata; Mammalia; Rodentia; Muridae
Product: predicted gene, 32046
Exons: 2
Source: RefSeq, a predicted model, not a curated record
GGUAUGACCAGGGCUAGCCGCCCAGCCGGGCUCUCUCGCCCUCUGGUGGCUCGAUUGUGUCAAGCCGGUACAUCCAGCCCUAGAGUUUAGGACUCAAAGCAGUUGCCCUGCGCUAGGACCCCAUCCGCUUCGGCUUGUGUACCAGUACUGAGUAACACAGCUCCCCAAAAGUAAGGAAUCUUCCUAGAAACUUCCAACCAAUCCAAACUUCCAGCACUGCUUCUGCAACCUCUGAUCUCACAACCCACCACCUCUACACGGUACCAGAAUCUCUCAUCACUUCAGCUGGGUUCCACCUUCCCAGUAGUAGAUCUAGAACCGACCACAAGGUCAUACGUUAUUGUUGCUCAAAAGCCACAACCCUACCUGAAAGCUAAUGUAAAAACCCAAUGGUUUUUCUUUUCCUGACUCCCUAAAUACCAAGAAAAAGCAACUUCCCUAAAUAGACAGAAACAGAAAGUACCCUUUGGGCGGGCGCAGAAGUUGGAACUAGGUGGGAAGGGGCUCAAUGCCCACCAUAGGUCUAGCCACAGUGAUCUCCAUCCCAACUACCUGUUUACAGGUGAGGAGCCCGGCCGUGGGCAAUGUGGUCCAUACAACUCUCUCCCCAGUCUCUACUUUAUUCACAAACAUGUUGACAUUUGGAGGAGAGGGAUGGAGGAAGCAGGCUUCACUGUAAAGAAGCAGACAAGAUUGGCAGUAGGUGCCUGAAGGAGAAGAUAGAGAAGAGCGCAUUUCACAGUCCAGGAAUGUGCUAGAGAAGUUGUGGAAUGUUUGACUUCUUCUGCAUUCUUGCUAUUCCCAAAACUGAAGGCAGAAUAAAGCUAAAACCCCGGGAAGCUCAGGACCUCAGAAACCCAGCGAUGCUGCCCUCCAAUGGCACACCCUCUUUCUUACUAGCAGCUGUGGCGCAGAUGUUGAGUUUGAAAUUUUCCUCCCUUCAACACUGGGGUGUGUUGUUGUCCCUGCAGGGCCAACCACCAGACCUCAAGAGCACCUGGCAUCUUCUGGACAGAAAUUAAAGUGACAGCCACUAGAAGCAGUGUCCCCAGUGCAGCUGGAAAGACCCAUGGGUGCCUCUGUCACUCGGUGGUGCCACCUGGUUACAUUCCCACCACUGUACAGCUCUGUUGUUUCCUCUUACAAACAAGGCUAUUUGUAAUCCC